This 79-nucleotide transfer RNA is filed under the name Streptomyces phage WRightOn. RNAcentral's name for it is "tRNA-Tyr". Lineage: Duplodnaviria; Heunggongvirae; Uroviricota; Caudoviricetes. The record is from RNAcentral.
UGGUUGAGCGCUGGGACGCAAGGGAGGCUGUAACCCUCUCGCUUCGGCUAGCAGAGUUCGAUUCUCUGGCAACCAACCA